RNAcentral lists this non-coding RNA (19 nucleotides) under Mus musculus (house mouse). The record is from RNAcentral. Lineage: Eukaryota; Metazoa; Chordata; Mammalia; Rodentia; Muridae.
UGUCUUCCCAGACGGCACA